Molecule: long non-coding RNA, 8577 nt
Filed under: Gossypium barbadense (sea-island cotton)
Lineage: Eukaryota; Viridiplantae; Streptophyta; Magnoliopsida; Malvales; Malvaceae
Description: long non-coding RNA (GBAR_LNC000749)
Source: RNAcentral
UUUUAAAUCUAAAUGUAACACCCCUCGCCCGUAUCCGAUGCCGGGACGGGGUUUGAGGUGCUACCUGACUUUUACUAACACUUCCAUAUUAAAUAGGGCCAUAAAAUCUCAAAUAAUUAAAAACUUUUAUUUUCACAUACAAUCUGUCCCAUAUACGGGCUUACGAGGCCCAAAACAUAUAUCCGGAGUGGUUCGGGACCCAACUGAGAACUCAUGAAAAACUUAGAAAAUCUCUUGCAUCAAGGCUUCAUACGCCCGUGUGGGUACAGAGCACACGCCCGUGUGCGAGGGACACGCCCGUGUCCCAAACUCGUGUACAAAAACCUGGACAAAUACAAGGCUAUUUUCCAAGACAUUUUGUCACACUCACAAUAGAUAUACGCAUACUUAUACAAUAACAUACAACAUGGCAAAAUUAGGUACUUAAACAUUCCUAACAUGUCAUGAUUAUGGCAAUUUCACAUGCAAUAGAUAUCAUAGAUUUUACUCACAUCUUUACCACAUUCAUACUAUAAUCAUUAUAAACUCAUCACAUAAUACCAUAGCACAUGCAUGCAUAAUUAAAAUAGAUUUACAACCCCAUAAUCAAAAUAGGCCAACACAUAUGGUUAAAGCCAUAUCACAUACUCUAAUAUUUACAACAUAUUCUCAAGUUCACAACAAGCUGUCUUUCUGAGCAACGGUCACUAAAUUAUUUAUAUCUGGAGCUACGAAACUCAAAAUUAAGUUCCACUAAUUUUACCUGAAUCUAGACUCAUUUAUAUUUCUUUCAUAAAAUUUCCAGAAUUUUUGACUUAGCCAAUUAGUACAGUUUAUUCCUCAAGUUUGCUCCUGAUUCACUGUCUGACAGUUUCAACCCUUUUGCACUAAAGUUCAAUUAUCUCAUAGUACAGGAUUCGAAUAAUGUUUUAAUAUAUUUCUCAUGAAACUAGACUCAUAUUUCUACUUACUAAUUUUGUUCUAGAAUUUUUCGUCAAGCCAUUUAGUACAUUUUAUUAGUUAAAGUUUCCCCUGUUUCAGGGUAUGACUACUCUGACCCCUGUGCACUACGAAUCGAAUUUCUCCAUGUACAGAAUUCCAAUGACCAUGUCGUUUGUUUCCCUUAAAAAUAGACUCAAUAAGGAAUGUAUACAGGUAAGGUAUGACUAUUAAUAAUUUUUUUACAAUUUACGUUGAAUUUAUAAAAUCAGAACAGGGGAUCUCAAAUUCAUUCAGACCCUAUUUCACAAGAAUUUAAAUAUCACACAAUAUAGAAUUCUUUUUCUUCCUCUAUUUCUUUCAUGUGAAAAUAGACUCAUUAAGCUUUAAUCCCAUAUUUUAUUCUACCUCUAACUCAUUUCCCACUAUUUUUAGUGUAUUUUCAAAGUUACACUACUGCAGUAACUCAAAUCUGUCAAGGCUAAGUUACUCAUUCAUGGUCAUUGUUCAUAAUAUUAAUACAACACCAUUUUAUCCAUCAUGGUAAGAACACAUAUUAUGCAUCAUAGAUCAUCACAUAUCAAGGCAUUCUCAUAGGAUUAGUAUACAUACUUGCACAACUCGUAACAUAACUCGAGUGCAUACUCACCAAUGACUUACCUCAUUGGGACCAUCAUCAACUCUUUCCUUGGAUUGCCCGUUGAACACUUGGAAUACUAAUUGGAUACUCGGAAAAGCCUUUGCACAUAAGUGCCUCAAUUGUAGCUAAAACUACCUCAUAUCUCAUGACAUUUCAAUGCUCACUCUCAUGCUAGUCAUCUAGACUCAUAAUUCCUAGUGACAUGUCACUCGUAUCCUAUUCUAUUCCUAAGGUUCAAACGGGAUUUUUCAUCGUCUAUUAAGGCUUUGUCUUAUCAUAUUUCUAUUAAUCACAUACACAUUAAUAUCUGUACAAUUCAUGUAAUGAUAACAUUUAAAUACAUGUAUAGCAUGGUAUUGUUUACAUACGAACUUACCUUGAUACCACAAAGGUGAAAAGGACAUACUCGUCCAUAAAUCGAUUUCUUUCCGUUCUAGGUCCAAGUCUCAAUUUUCAUCAUUUAUAACAUCACAUUUAGCCUACCAAUCAGUCACAAUAUUCAUAUGGGUCUAAAAAUCAUAUUUUUACAAAUUUUCAUUUUGACCCCUAAACUUUUGCAUAUUUGCACUUUUGCCCCAAUGCUCGUAAAUUAAUUUUUAUCACAUUUCUUUACUCCUUGAGUCUAGAUGAACCAUUUUCAUAGCUAUAGCAACUCAUAAUUUCAACUAUUUUACACAUUUACAACUCAUUUUACAACUUAGCAAUUCAGACCCUUUUAAAGUAUUUUCAUGCAAUUUCUUUCACAAAAGUUGUUUAUUAGACAACUAGGACUCAUAAUCUUCCAUAAAAACACAGCAAACAACACAUUUACUCUCAUGGUAAAACCCUAGACUCUUCAUCAUUUUGCGAAAUAAUCCCCUCUUAUGAAAGCUUAUGCUUUAAGGGUUCCAAAAAUACAAAAAUCAUCAAGCAAAGACAUUAAAAUCACUUACAAGCAAGGGAAAUAUGUUGCUGAAAUUUUCCAGCUUCAAAACCCUUUCUUUGCUGCAUAUUUCGGUGAAGGGGAAGAGAAAAAUGAUAGCUUUUUCUUCUUCUUUUUUUUAUUUGUUAAUAAUAAAACUAUUUUGUCUAAUUUUGACUUUUCAACUAUUUUAUCUCCCAUGGCCGGCCAUCACACUUUCAAUGGCCUAACUUCACUUUAAAGACCCCCAAUUUAAGAUACAAGGCAAUUUAACACCUUUAGGUAUUAAAACACAACUUUUACUUUUUACGCGAUUUAGUCCUUUUUCGAAAUUGGACUAGAAAUCGCUAAAAUUAAUAUACCAAAAUUAACAUGCACUUAUAAAAUCAUAUUAUAACACAUAAAAUAAUACUAAAAUAAUUUUCUCUGGCCUCGAAAUAGUGGUCCCGAAAUCACUGUUCCGACUAGGCCCAAAAUCGGGCUGUUACAUUUCUUCCCCCCUUUAGGGAUUUUCGUCCCCGAAAAUCUUACCAGAAAAAGUUGUUCUCUACUUUCACGAGUCACUUUUAUCUUUUUCUCACAACUUACAAAACAACUCCGCACAAGCUCAUACUCAAGAUUUCCCUUAGCUUUUUCAUAGUUGAGGUAUAAACCUUGGAGCUCAAUUUGAAACACUGGAGACUGACAUUCUUGGAACUAUAAACUCAGAAACAUACAACUCAGUCACAUCUGUUGAAUAAUAUAUCUGUACAUACUAAAAUAAUCAUGCAGACUUCCAUCAUCAAUCUUUCACAAUUCAACUUGCAUCUCUCUUUUUUCCUGGAAAUGAGAGACAUCCCGAUACGAAAUUCAUAACAGUCCUUUCUCAUUUUCUUCCCACUGUCAUCACUGACAAUAAUAAUCUCGAAUACAUUUGAUAUUCGGCUUUACCCUAUAGAAAAUUUGACAUCCUUUGAACGAAUAGACAAGAUACUGCUGUGAACUCUGUACUCAAUUCUCUGUAUACCCAGAGUUUCUCAGUACUGAAAUCUUACUCUAAAUUAAUAGUAAUAGAAACCAGAAAUCAAAUCCUCCCUGCAAUUCCAAAUUAAAAGUCGAAUCAUGCUGUACUUGUUUAAUUUACCACUUAUAGCCACAUUUCUAUACUCUGAUCAUCAACUGUUUAGAAACUUUACUAACAUGAAUCAAAUGAUUCCAACUUCAUAGAUGUGGUCUUUUUAUUAAUCAGGAUAACUAUACUUAUAACAUCUCUCGAACAAGAGAAAUCCAACUAAUAUGUUUCCAUAACAUACUUUCAAGAAUAAAACCCCAUCAUUUCUGACUGUACGACUACUUACCAAAGAACACGUAACUGUGUUCUCGAACCAGAGAAUAAACUUAAAUGCACAUAACUCAGAUUUACUUUUGCAGAAUAACCAUUCUUUACCCCAGGAAUUUUAAAGAAAUCUCGACACUGAAAUCCCCACACUUCUAUGGUCGAGCCAGAAGCUUAAUCAUAACAAAUUCUAAUAUGGCAAGUCAAAGAUUACUCGUAAAGAUAAGCCAAGCUUGAUAAUUCUCGAAACAAGAACGAGAGAAAAGCCAAUAUAAGAAAUUCCAAGAUAUAAAGACUCUACCAGAAAUCCGAGAAUAUAAUCCAGAAGAAAAUAAUAAAUAUGAUCCGGAAAAUCCCUCAGAGAAAACCAGAAGGAAACUACUGUCUAUACGCUCUAGAAUUUCUCGUAACAGAGAUAAUAUAAUUCUCCAAUAUGUAUAAACCAUAAUCAAUAGAACAUCAGAAUAAUCUCAUAUAGAUUUUUACUAUCAACUUCAUUCCAGUAUAUCAGAAUAGAAAUCUGAAGAGAUGGGGAAAUGUCGAUCAUAACUAACUGGACUAAUAGAACUUUUCAUCUAAUAUCACAGUCACUAGCAUCCUCAUACGGUAGAAUUUCCAUUCGAAAGGGAUAACCAUACGUAUUCCCCAGAAUAGAGGAAAACAUAGAAUACUCAGAAGAGAAAGGUAGCCAUCACUUUAUUUAAUUGAAUCCGUCAUAUUCAGACAUCUGUGCAAGUCUGACAUUAUUCCUCUAACUAAUUCUGUCUUCGCUAAUCUCAUACUAUUCCAUUAUUGUACUCUUCACUUUCACUUUUGCAAGCUUAUGCAACAUAUCUCUCGAAAAUCUCAUCGUAUAACUCUAUUCUGGUAAGGGGGCGAAGAUUGUAAAGCCUCUAAACUUUUGACUCUCAAGCAAAUACAUAUUCAACAACAACAUAGCAUUACACACAUCGAUUCAAACAUUUCAAAUUUCCAACUUGUUAUGAACACAUUUUCACAUAUCUUAGUAAUACAUGCAACUUUAUUUCGUGCAAAUAUUAGCUAAACAUAAGUGAAUUUAUCAUAACUCAAACUUUCAUUUAUUUUUCUCAAAUUACCCUUAAUGUUUUAUCAAAUUCCCAUAUUUAGUCUUAAUCACUUGCCAAUAUUUAUCAAAUUGGAGAACGUCUUAUGGUUUUGAGUACAUUGCUUACUUGAUGCCAUAGUUCAACUAUGGUCUUGUACUAGCUCUCAUCCAUCUGUGUCGAUGCCGUGUCCCAGACAGGUCUUACACUGACACAUGUAACCGUGCUGACGCAUGUCCCAGACAUGUCUUACACUAGCACAUCUCGUAGCCGACACAUGUCCCGGACAUGUCUGACAUUGGCUAACAUCUCGAGGCCGAUGCAUGUCCCAGACAUGUCUUACACUGGCUCUCAUACUGUGGCUGAUGCAUGUCCCAGACAUGUCUUACACUAGCCCUCGUCUCAAUGCCGAUGCCAUGUCCCAUACAUGGUCUUACACUGGCACACAAAUCUCUUGUAUUGCCACGGUCCAACCAUGGUCUUUUCCGUCAAUUCAUUAGUGAACGAUCGUACUCAUUCCCUGCAUUCCACCCAAUUUGAUCUUUCAUUACAACUUUCAUGCUAUUAUGACAUUUAUGAUUCUGUAACUGAGAUUAUAAAGCAUAACAUUACUGCAUCUUGACUUCAUCAAUCUAGACAUAAAUGUCAACCUCAUGUAUAUAUUGAUUAUUAAUCAUGCAAUAAAAGCAUUCAUACAUACAUUCUGUCAUUUCAAGCAAAUUUCUUUCUUUUCCUAAACACUUGGCCAAAUCAAGUUGGACAUUUAACAUCGUAUGAAUACUAACAUGCAUAAAAGCGUUUUUUCACAACUUAACUGUGUUUUACUCCACUAUUUCACAUUCUUUAACUCAAGAGUAUCACAUAGUGAAUACUAGUUCAUAUGAAAAUCAUUAAUGUCUUUUCAUACCUUUCCCAUUUUCAGCAUGUCACAAGCAUGAUUCAAUAAUCUCAACUUUACUCUUAUCUUUAUCAAGAUUUGCUCGGUUCGAAUUCAUUCCUGUCUUAAACAACAGUUUUGUUAGGGCCGAGAGAUAUCACACUAUCACGAGUAAUACUAUGGCAUGUAUAGCUAGACUCUCUUACGCUAGGUUAGUCUGAGAACCGACUAAACCAUGCUCUGAUACCACUAAAUGUAACACCCCUCGCCCGCAUCCGACGCCGAGACAGGGUUCGAGGUGCUACUUGACUUUUACUAACACUUCCAUACUAAAUAGGGCCAUGAAAUCUCAAAUAAUUAAAAACUUUUAUUUUCAUAUACAAUCUGUCCCAUAUACGGGCUUACGAGGCCCAAAACAUACGUCCGGAGUGGUUUGGGACCCAACCGAGAACUCAUGAAAAACUUAGAAAAUCUCUUGCAUCAAGGCUUCAUACGCCCGUGUGGGUAUAGAGCACACGCCCGUGUGGGUAUAGAGCACACGCCCGUGUGCUAGGGACACGCCCGUGUCCCAAACCCGUGUACAAAAACCUAGACAAAUACAAGGCUAUUUUCCAAGCCAUUUUGUCACACUCACAAUAGAUACACACAUACUUAUACAACAACAUACAACAUGGCAAAAUUAGGUACUUAAACAUUCCUAACAUGUCAUGAUUAUGGCAAUUUCACAUGCAAUAGAUAUAAUAGAUUUUACUCACAUCUUUACCAUAUUCAUACUAUAAUCAUUAUAAACUCAUCACAUAAUACCAUAUCACAUGCAUGCAUAAUUAAAAUAGAUUUACAACCCCAUAAUCAAAAUAGGCCAACACAUAUGGUUAAAGCCAUAUCACAUACUCUAAUAUUUACAACAUAUUCUCAAGUUUACUACAAGCUAUCUUUUUGAGCAACGGUCACUAAAUUAUUUAUAUAUAGAGUUAAGAAACUCCAAAUUAAGUUCCGUUAAUUUUACCUGAAACUAGACUCAUUUAUCUUUCUUUCAUAAAAUUUCCAGAAUUUUUGACUCAGCCAAUUAGUACAGUUUAUUCCUCAAGUUUGCUCCUGAUUCACUGUCUGACAGUUUCAACCCUUCUACACUAAAGUUCAAUUAUCUCAUAGUACAGGAUUCGAAUAAUGUUCUCGUCUAUUUCUCUUGAAACUAGACUCAUAUUUCUACUUACUAGUUUUUUUAUAGAAUUUUUUGUGAAGCCAUUUAGUACAUUUUAUUAGUUAAAGUUUCCCCUGUUUCAGGGUAUGACUACUCUGACCCCUGUGCACUACGAAUCGAAUUUCUCCAUGUACAGAAUUCUAAUGACCAUGCUGUUUGUUUCCCUUAAAAAUAGACUCAAUAAGGAAUGUAUACAGGUAAGGUAUGACUAUUAAUAAUUUUUUUACAAUUUAUGGUGAAUUUAUAAAAUCAGAACAGGGGAUCUCAAAUUCAUUCAGACCCUAUUUCACAAGAAUUUAAAUAUCACACAAUAUAGAAUUCUUUUUCUUCCUCUAUUUCUUUCAUGUGAAAAUAGACUCAUUAAGCUUUAAUCCCAUAUUUUAUUCUGCCUCUAACUCAUUUUCCACUAUUUUUAGUGUAUUUUCAAAGUUACACUACUGCAGUAACUCAAAUCUGUCAAGGCUAAGUUACUCAUUCAUGGUCAUUGUUCAUAAUAUUAAUACAACACCAUUUUAUCCAUCAUGGUAAGAACACAUAUUAUGCAUCAUAGAUCAUCACAUAUCAAGGCAUUCUCAUAGGAUUAGUAUACAUACUUGCACAACUCGUAACAUAACUCGAGUGCAUACUCACCAAUGACUUACCUCAUUGGGACCAUCAUCAACUCUUUCCUUGGAUUGCCCGUUGAACACUUGGAAUACUAAUUGGAUACUCGGAAAAGCCUUUGCACAUAAGUGCCUCAAUUGUAGCUAAAACUACCUCAUAUCUCAUGACAUUUCAAUGCUCACUCUCAUGCUAGUCAUCUAGACUCAUAAUUCCUAGUGACAUGUCACUCGUAUCCUAUUCUAUUCCUAAGGUUCAAACGGGAUUUUUCAUCGUCUAUUAAGGCUUUGUCUUAUCAUAUUUCUAUUAAUCACAUACACAUUAAUAUCUGUACAAUUCAUGUAAUGAUAACAUUUAAAUACAUGUAUAGCAUGGUAUUGUUUACAUACGAACUUACCUUGAUACCACAAAGGUGAAAAGGACAUACUCGUCCAUAAAUCGAUUUCUUUCCGUUCUAGGUCCAAGUCUCAAUUUUCAUCAUCUAUAACAUCACAUUUAGCCUACCAAUCAGUCACAAUAUUCAUAUGGGUCUAAAAAUCAUAUUUUUACAAAUUUUCAUUUUGACCCCUAAACUUUUGCAUAUUUGCACUUUUGCCCCAAUGCUCGUAAAUUAAUUUUUAUCACAUUUCUUUACUCCUUGAGUCUAGAUGAACCAUUUUCAUAGCUAUAGCAACUCAUAAUUUCAACUAUUUUACACAUUUACAACUCAUUUUACAACUUAGCAAUUUAGCCCUUUUAAAGGUAUUUUCAUGCAAUUUCUUUCACAAAAGUUGUUUAUUAGACAACUAGGACUCAUAAUCUUCCAUAAAAACACAGCAAACAACAUAUUUACUCUCAUGGUAAAACCCUAAACUCUUCAUCAUUUUGCAAAAUAAUCCCCUCUUAUGAAAGCUUAUGCUUUAAGGGUUCCAAAAAUACAAAAAUCAUCAAGCAAAGACAUUAAAAUCACUUACAAGCAAGGGAAAUAUGUUGCUGAAAUUUUCCAGCUUCAAAACCCUUUCUUUGCUGCAUAUUUCGGUGAAGGGGAAGAGAAAAAUGAUAGCUUUUUCUUCUUCUUUUUU